UACUUCCUGCAACAGAGAUUUGUAUUCGAAAGGGAGAGCCAUUUUAUGUUGUCAGAAAGAAAAUGCACUCAUCUGGAUUGAACACAGCACUCCAUCUUGCUGCAGACAAGAAGUUCUCCAUGUGUUUUUGACAAGUUUUUCACUGGGGAAAUGUUCCCGUUGCAAUGCCCUAGUUCGUGAUACACAGGGGAAAGGUCAUUUCGAGGACUCAGUUGACUGAACCUGCGUAUCUUUGGGGUAUGGGAGGAAACUGGAGCACCAGAGGAAGCUCACGCAUGCACCGGGAGAGCAUGCAAACUCCACGCAGACAGCAGGAUGCAUCAUGAGCCCCGAUGGAGGGCCUUGGCCUGAAACGUCAACUGUUUAUUCAUUGACAUAGAUGACGCCUGACCUGCUGAGUUCCUCCAGCGUUCCGUGUGGGAUGCAUUUGUACUGAACUGAAAAAAUCUAUGCUCCAAUGAUAAAUUCUGUACUAUUGUGAUAAAAUUAAAUUUAAAACACCACUGGUGUCGGGUAACCAAACGACUCAGGGAGUCUGAUGCUGAAUCAGCCCAUCCAACAUCUGCAGGAAGUGUGCGGGAACUCUAGCGCUGUCCUUACUUACACCUCUCCUGGCCGCUUUCCCAAAAUGUCUGUGACUUAUGGAGAGUUGGUUGAUAUCUGAUCAGGGCUGUCUUGAUGAGUUUCACAUCUGGACACUGUGAGUGUUGUUGAGAGGUACCUCGAGGGCCCAGGGAUACAGUCUGAGGUGGGUCGGUUGUCGGUCAACAUCACUCUGCUUUCUCCAAAGGUCAUCGCAUUGACGGGCAGUAAAUAAUGACCAGAUUGACCAGACACGGUACCGCUAGACUUCAGCAUGGCCAGUUCCUG
Molecule: long non-coding RNA, 870 nt
Organism: Mobula hypostoma (lesser devil ray)
Lineage: Eukaryota; Metazoa; Chordata; Chondrichthyes; Myliobatiformes; Myliobatidae
Exons: 3
Source: RefSeq, a predicted model, not a curated record